CAUGAUUCGCAUGUAAAUCACCUUUACCCUGCAACUUGUUACAAUCUUUCUUGAUGUGUCCUUUCCUCUUGCAGUAAUAAUAAUACACAUUGCUAUACCUCGCCUUUGAUCUACCCCUCUGUCGAUCACCAUGAGUAACCUGAGCAUCCACACUCCUAGAUAUAGGAUCUCCAACCAAUAGCUCCAUCUUCUCCUUUGAGAACAGGGCGUUGUAUACCUCCUCAAUGGAUA
This 231-nucleotide long non-coding RNA is filed under the name Olea europaea (common olive). RNAcentral describes it as "long non-coding RNA (OEUR_LNC013140)". The record is from RNAcentral. Lineage: Eukaryota; Viridiplantae; Streptophyta; Magnoliopsida; Lamiales; Oleaceae.